Molecule: ribosomal RNA, 821 nt
Filed under: Allotrechispora gatesiae
Lineage: Eukaryota; Fungi; Basidiomycota; Agaricomycetes; Trechisporales; Hydnodontaceae
Description: Trechisporales sp. SLL-2022a partial large subunit ribosomal RNA
Rfam family: Eukaryotic large subunit ribosomal RNA
Source: RNAcentral
CCCCUAGUAACUGCGAGUGAAGCGGGAUGAGCUCAAAUUUGUAAUCUGGCCGUUCCGCGGUCCGAGUUGUAAUCUGGAGAAGUGUUUUCCGUGCUGGACCGUGUACAAGUCCCUUGGAAUAGGGCGUCAUAGAGGGUGAGAAUCCCGUCUUUGACACGGACUGCCAGUGCUCUGUGAUGCGCUCUCGAAGAGUCGAGUUGUUUGGGAAUGCAGCUCAAAACGGGUGGUAAAUUCCAUCUAAAGCUAAAUAUUGGCGAGAGACCGAUAGCGAACAAGUACCGUGAGGGAAAGAUGAAAAGCACUUUGGAAAGAGAGUAAAACAGUACGUGAAAUUGUUGAAAGGGAAACGCUUGAAGUCAGUCGCGUCUUGUGGGACUCAGCCUUGCUUCUGCUUGGUGCACUUCCCAGUUCGACGGGCCAGCAUCGUUUUCCGAGCCGGACAAACGCGUCGGGAAUGUGGCAGCUCCGGCUGUGUUAUAGCCCUUCGUUGCACAACGGCUUAGGGGAACGAGGAAUCCGGCGCAAGCCUGGGAUGCUGGCGUAAUGGCUCUAAACGACCCGUCUUGAAACACGGACCAAGGAGUGCUACGUGCUCGCGAGUGUUUGGGUGGAAAACCCGGACGCGCAAUGAAAGUGAAAGUCGAGACCCCUUCGCGGGGGGCAUCGACGCCCGAGCCCAAUGUUUUCGGAGGGCCUUGCGGUAGAGCGAGUGUGUUGCGACCCGAAAGAUGGUGAACUAUUCCUGAGGAGGGCGAAGCCAGAGGAAACUCUGGUGGAGGCUCGUAGCGGUUCUGACGUGCAAAUCGAUCGCAGGACUUGGG